This 494-nucleotide ribosomal RNA is filed under the name uncultured bacterium. Its description in RNAcentral is "partial 16S ribosomal RNA". It matches the Rfam family "Bacterial small subunit ribosomal RNA", at positions 28 to 507 of the family's 1533-position model. The record is from RNAcentral.
GACGAACGCUGGCGGCGUGCUUAACACAUGCAAGUCGAACGGUGAAGCGCCUUCCUUUUUGGUGGGUGUGGAUGAGUGGCGAACGGGUGAGUAACACGUGAGUAACCUGCCCCCUUCUUCUGCAUAACCGCAUGAAAGUGUGGCCAAUACGGGAUAUUCUGGGUCUGUCGCAUGAUGGGUCUGGGAAAGAUAUUGUUUCGGUGGGGGAUGGGCUCGCGGCCUAUCAGCUUGUUGGUGGGGUGAUGGCCUACCAAGGCGGUGACGGGUAGCCGGCCUGAGAGGGUGGACGGUCACACUGGGACUGAGACACGGCCCAGACUCCUACGGGAGGCAGCAGUGGGGAAUAUUGCACAAUGGGCGCAAGCCUGAUGCAGCGACGCCGCGUGAGGGAUGGAGGCCUUCGGGUUGUGAACCUCUUUCGCCAGUGAAGCAGGCCUGCCUCGUUUGUGGGUGGGUUGACGGUAGCUGGAGAAGAAGCGCCGGCUAACUACGUG